AUUGAACGCUGGCGGCAUGCCUUACUCAUGCAAGUCGAACGGCAGCACGGGAGCAAUCCUGGUGGCGAGUGGCGAACGGGUGAGUAAUAAAUCGGAACGUGCCCAGUCGUGGGGGAUAACGCAGCGAAAGCUGUGCUAAUACCGCAUACGAUCUAAGGAUGAAAGCGGGGGAUCGCAAGACCUCGCGCGAUUGGAGCGGCCGAUAUCAGAUUAGCUAGUUGGUGGGGUAAAGGCCCACCAAGGCGACGAUCUGUAGCUGGUCUGAGAGGACGACCAGCCACACUGGAACUGAGACACGGUCCAGACUCCUACGGGAGGCAGCAGUGGGGAAUUUUGGACAAUGGGCGCAAGCCUGAUCCAGCAAUGCCGCGUGCAGGAUGAAGGCCUUCGGGUUGUAAACUGCUUUUGUACGGAACGAAACGGCCCUUUCUAAUACAGGGGGCUAAUGACGGUACCGUAAGAAUAAGCACCGGCUAACUACGUGCCAGCAGCCGCAGUAA
This 500-nucleotide ribosomal RNA is filed under the name uncultured bacterium. RNAcentral describes it as "partial 16S ribosomal RNA". It matches the Rfam family "Bacterial small subunit ribosomal RNA", at positions 30 to 523 of the family's 1533-position model. The record is from RNAcentral.